RNAcentral lists this ribosomal RNA (254 nucleotides) under uncultured prokaryote. Its description in RNAcentral is "partial 16S ribosomal RNA". It matches the Rfam family "Bacterial small subunit ribosomal RNA", at positions 524 to 777 of the family's 1533-position model. The record is from RNAcentral.
UACGGAGGAUGCAAGCGUUAUCCGGAUUUAUUGGGUUUAAAGGGUGCGCAGGUUGUUUGAUAAGUCAGUGGUGAAAGUCUGUCGCUUAACGGUAGGAUUGCCAUUGAUACUGUUAGACUUGAAUAUGGAUGAGGUAGGCGGAAUGUGUAGUGUAGCGGUGAAAUGCAUAGAUAUUACACAGAACACCGAUUGCGAAGGCAGCUUACUAAUCCAUCAUUGACGCUGAGGCACGAAAGCGUGGGGACCAAACAGGA